Molecule: long non-coding RNA, 1248 nt
Filed under: Microcebus murinus (gray mouse lemur)
Lineage: Eukaryota; Metazoa; Chordata; Mammalia; Primates; Cheirogaleidae
Description: lncRNA (ENSMICG00000048755.1)
Source: RNAcentral
AAUUCUAUAGCUUUCAGUUCUCCAGUUAAAUUCUCCACCUUUUCUUCUAUUUUUCAGGCAUAUUAACCAUACUGAUAUUGAAGUUUUGUAUCCAAAAAUUACAGUAACUGAAUCUAUUGUAGGUGUUUUACUAUUGCCUUUUUUCUUUUAAUUUUCUUAUUUUUUCCUUCUUUUUUGGUCAUUUUGUCCUAUUUUCUGCCAUGGCAUUUUGUAUGCUGGACUUUGUUAAUUUAUGUAUAGAUAUAAGUGAAUUAUAUUAUAUUCCCCUGAAGAUAAUUUAAUGAAAUUCUGGCAAUCUGCUAGAGUAUAGCCAGAUCAUCUUCAUAUAAUCCAGUCUAGAGUUCAGGUUUUAUGAGUCCUGUUCUAGUUCUACUUUGCUUUUUACUUUUAAACAUGGCCCUUAUUCUCUAUGGUAUUACUCUAAUUGCUGCCUUUUUUUAAUUAAUUAAUUUAUGUUUUUAUUCUAUGGUUUUACUCUAAUUGUUAAGGGUGGCUCUUUGAGGUCUUUGACUGAGGUAUUUUCCUAAGCGCCUCCUUUUUUGUAGUAUGGUACCUCUAAAAUUGCUUCCCCAGCACUGUGAAAUGGAUGAAUCCUCUGCCUUACUUCUCAGAGCCUCACCCCGAGCCUGUGCACCUUAGAAGUCGGCAAAUGCUCCAGGGAAAGCUGCAUACAGUAUUUGAUGCCUAUUCCUUGGUGAAAGAGACCUCCUUUUGCUUAAGGAAAGACCAAGAUUAUGUAAAGGUAAGUAUUGUCUGAGAAAUUUUAUAAGUCAUAUCAAUAAAUGUGCUUUCAGUCCAGAGUCAUGGUUUUACAACUCAUAUGCAGCCAGACACAGAAAAAUGAUAAAGAUUCAGCUUGUUAGGUGACAUAAUUGUGAAAUCUCUAUCACCCUAGAAAUUAAUUGAGAUUAGAAAGCACAGAGAUUAGCAAUAAGGAGUUAUGUCUCAGGCAUAUGUGUUUGAAUUUUGUUAGCUUUUCUCAAAAAUAAUAUGAAAGAAAAAUAAUUCCCCAGUAUAGAAAAAAGUACAGCAGAAAAGUCGCAAAAAAUUAUUCUGACCUAUUUAUUUCUCGAUUUUACUACAGAAAUCAACCGCUAAAGCACAUGUACACUGGUGCUGUUAGUCAACUUAUACUACUAUUGUUUGUGGAGAUUAUGUCCCAAAUUCAACCAAAGUUGUACACAUAAUGGAAAAGUUUGAAUUACAUGAAGGGAAAGAAGUUGACAGAAAAAGAGGGAGAUUUUUAAU